UAGAGUUUGAUCCUGGCUCACAUUGAACGCUGGCGGCAUGCCUUACACAUGCAAGUCGAACGGCAGCACGGGUGCUUGCACCUGGUGGCGAGUGGCGAACNNNUGAGUAAUACAUCGGAACAUGUCCAGUAGUGGGGGAUAGCCCGGCGAAAGCCGGAUUAAUACCGCAUACGAUCUACGGAUGAAAGCGGGGGAUCUUCGGACCUCGCGCUAUUGGGGUGGCCGAUGGCGGAUUAGCUAGUUGGUGGGGUAAAGGCCCACCAAGGCGACGAUCCGUAGCUGGUCUGAGAGGACGACCAGCCACACUGGGACUGAGACACGGCCCAGACUCCUACGGGAGGCAGCAGUGGGGAAUUUUGGACAAUGGGCGAAAGCCUGAUCCAGCAAUGCCGCGUGUGUGAAGAAGGCCUUCGGGUUGUAAAGCACUUUUGUCCGGAAAGAAAUCCUGGUGGCUAAUAUCCGCCGGGGAUGACGGUACCGGAAGAAUAAGCACCGGCUAACUACGUGCCAGCAGCCGCGGUAAUACGUAGGGUGCGAGCGUUAAUCGGAAUUACUGGGCGUAAAGCGUGCGCAGGCGGUGAUGUAAGACCGAUGUGAAAUCCCCGGGCUUAACCUGGGAACUGCAUUGGUGACUGCAUCGCUGGAGUAUGGCAGAGGGGGGUAGAAUUCCACGUGUAGCAGUGAAAUGCGUAGAGAUGUGGAGGAAUACCGAUGGCGAAGGCAGCCCCCUGGGCCAAUACUGACGCUCAUGCACGAAAGCGUGGGG
RNAcentral lists this ribosomal RNA (766 nucleotides) under bacterium enrichment culture clone PF-1_45. RNAcentral's name for it is "bacterial SSU rRNA". It matches the Rfam family "Bacterial small subunit ribosomal RNA", at positions 1 to 766 of the family's 1533-position model. The record is from RNAcentral.